RNAcentral lists this ribosomal RNA (497 nucleotides) under uncultured bacterium. RNAcentral describes it as "partial 16S ribosomal RNA". It matches the Rfam family "Bacterial small subunit ribosomal RNA", at positions 28 to 507 of the family's 1533-position model. The record is from RNAcentral.
GAUGAACGCUGGCGGCGUGCCUAAUACAUGCAAGUCGAGCGAACAGACGAGGAGCUUGCUCCUGUGACGUUAGCGGCGGACGGGUGAGUAACACGUGGAUAACCUACCUAUAAGACUGGGAUAACUUCGGGAAACCGGAGCUAAUACCGGAUAAUAUAUUGAACCGCAUGGUUCAAUAGUGAAAGACGGUUUUGCUGUCACUUAUAGAUGGAUCCGCGCCGCAUUAGCUAGUUGGUAAGGUAACGGCUUACCAAGGCGACGAUGCGUAGCCGACCUGAGAGGGUGAUCGGCCACACUGGAACUGAGACACGGUCCAGACUCCUACGGGAGGCAGCAGUAGGGAAUCUUCCGCAAAGGGCGAAAGCCUGACGGAGCAACGCCGCGUGAGUGAUGAAGGUCUUCGGAUCGUAAAACUCUGUUAUUAGGGAAGAACAAAUGUGUAAGUAACUAUGCACGUCUUGACGGUACCUAAUCAGAAAGCCACGGCUAACUACGUG